AACGAACGCUGGCGGCAUGCCUAACACAUGCAAGUCGAACGAGAUCUUCGGGUCUAGUGGCGCACGGGUGCGUAACGCGUGGGAAUCUGCCCUUUGGUUCGGAAUAACAGUUGGAAACGACUGCUAAUACCGGAUGAUGACGAAAGUCCAAAGAUUUAUCGCCAGAGGAUGAGCCCGCGUAGGAUUAGCUAGUUGAGGUGGUAAAGGCGCGCCAAGGCGACGAUCCUUAGCUGGUCUGAGAGGAUGAUCAGCCACACUGGGACUGAGACACGGCCCAGACUCUUACGGGAGGCAGCAGUGGGGAAUAUUGGACAAUGGGCGAAAGCCUGAUCCAGCAAUGCCGCGUGAGUGAUGAAGGCCUUAGGGUUGUAAAGCUCUUUUACCCGGGAUGAUAAUGACAGUACCGGGAGAAUAAGCUCCGGCUAACUCCGUGCAGCCGCCGCCGUAA
This 448-nucleotide ribosomal RNA is filed under the name uncultured bacterium. RNAcentral describes it as "partial 16S ribosomal RNA". It matches the Rfam family "Bacterial small subunit ribosomal RNA", at positions 29 to 523 of the family's 1533-position model. The record is from RNAcentral.